AGAGUUUGAUCAUGGCUCAGAACGAACGCUGGCGGCAGGCUUAAUACAUGCAAGUCGAGCGGUCUCUUUCGGGAGACAGCGGCGGACGGGUUAGUAACGCGUGGGAACGUGCCCUUUAGUACGGAAUAGCCAUUGGAAACGAUGAUUAAUACCGUAUACGCCCUAUGGGGGAAAGAUUUAUCGCUAAAGGAUCGGCCCGCGUUAGAUUAGGUUGUUGGUGGGGUAAUGGCCUACCAAGCCUACGAUCUAUAGCUGGUUUGAGAGGAUGAUCAGCCACAUUGGGACUGAGACACGGCCCAAACUCCUACGGGAGGCAGCAGUGGGGAAUCUUGCACAAUGGAGGAAACUCUGAUGCAGCGAUGCCGCGUGAGUGAAGAAGGCCUUUGGGUUGUAAAUCUCUUUCGUCGGGGAAGAAAAUGACUGUACCCGAAUAAGAAGGUCCGGCUAACUUCGUGCCAGCAGCCGCGGUAAUACGAAGGGACCUAGCGUAGUUCGGAAUUACUGGGCUUAAAGAGUUCGUAGGUGGUUGAAAAAGUUGGUGGUGAAAUCCCAGAGCUUAACUCUGGAACUGCCAUCAAAACUUUUCAGCUAGAGUUUGAUAGAGGAAAGCAGAAUUUCUAGUGUAGAGGUGAAAUUCGUAGAUAUUAGAAAGAAUACCAAUUGCGAAGGCAGCUUUCUGGAUCAAUACUGACACUGAGGAACGAAAGCAUGGGUAGCGAAGAGGAUUAGAUACCCUCGUAGUCCAUGCCGUAAACGAUGUGUGUUAGACGUUGGAAAUUUAUUUUCAGUGUCGCAGCGAAAGCGAUAAACACACCGCCUGGGGAGUACGACCGCAAGGUUAAAACUCAAAUGAAUUGACGGGGACCCGCACAAGUAGUGGAGCAUGUGGUUUAAUUCGAAGAUACGCGCAGAACCUUACCAACACUUGACAUGUUCGUCGCGACUUUAAGAGAUUAAAGUUUUCGGUUCGGCCGGACGAAACACAGGUGCUGCAUGGCUGUCGUCAGCUCGUGUCGUGAGAUGUUGGGUUAAGUCCCGCAACGAGCGCAACCCUCACUUUUAGUUGCCAUCAUUAAGUUGGGCACUCUGAAAGAACUGCCAGUGAUAAGCUGGAGGAAGGUGGGGAUGACGUCAAGUCCUCAUGGCCCUUACGUGUUGGGCUACACACGUGCUACAAUGGUAUCUACAACAGGAAGCAAAACGGCGACGUUAAGCAAAUCCUUAAAAGAUACCUCAGUUCGGAUUGCACUCUGCAACUCGAGUGCAUGAAGCUGGAAUUACUAGUAAUCGUGGAUCAGCGUGCCACGGUGAAUGCGUUCCCGGGUCUUGUACACACCGCCCGUCACACCAUGGGAGUUGGUUCUACCUUAAGGCAAGGUUUAAAACCCUUGACCACGGUAUAGUCAGCGACUGGGGUGAAGUCAUAACAAGGUAGCCGUA
This 1440-nucleotide ribosomal RNA is filed under the name uncultured bacterium. Its description in RNAcentral is "16S ribosomal RNA". It matches the Rfam family "Bacterial small subunit ribosomal RNA". The record is from RNAcentral.